This 444-nucleotide ribosomal RNA is filed under the name uncultured bacterium. RNAcentral's name for it is "partial 16S ribosomal RNA". It matches the Rfam family "Bacterial small subunit ribosomal RNA", at positions 354 to 796 of the family's 1533-position model. The record is from RNAcentral.
GUAGGGAAUAUUGGGCAAUGGUCGGAAGACUGACCCAGCCAUGCCGCGUGCAGGAAGACGGCCCUCUGGGUUGUAAACUGCUUUUAUCUGGGAAGAAAAAGGCCAUGCGUGGCAAAUUGCCGGUACCAGAUGAAUAAGCACCGGCUAACUCCGUGCCAGCAGCCGCGGUAAUACGGAGGGUGCGAGUGUUGUCCGGAUUUAUUGGGUUUAAAGGGUGCGUAGGCGGCUGAUUAAGUCAGCGGUGAAAGACUUCGGCUUAACCGGAGCAGUGCCGUUGAUACUUGUUGGCUUGAGUGUCGGAGGGGUACAUGGAAUUGAUGGUGUAGCGGUGAAAUGCAUAGAUACCAUCAGGAACACCGAUAGCGAAGGCAUUGUACUGGCCGACAACUGACGCUGAUGCACGAAAGUGUGGGGAUCGAACAGGAUUAGAAACCCCGGUAGUCC